GACGAACGCUGGCGGCGUGCUUAACACAUGCAAGUCGAACGAAGAGCGACGGAAGCUUGCUUCUAUCAAUCUUAGUGGCGAACGGGUGAGUAACGCGUAAUCAACCUGCCCUUCAGAGGGGGACAACAGUUGGAAACGACUGCUAAUACCGCAUACGAUCUAAUCUCGGCAUCGAGGAUGGAUGAAAGGUGGCCUCUACAUGUAAGCUAUCACUGAAGGAGGGGAUUGCGUCUGAUUAGCUAGUUGGAGGGGUAACGGCCCACCAAGGCGAUGAUCAGUAGCCGGUCUGAGAGGAUGGACGGCCACAUUGGGACUGAGACACGGCCCAGACUCCUACGGGAGGCAGCAGUGGUGAAUCUUCCGCAAUGGACGAAAGUCUGACGGAGCAACGCCGCGUGAGUGAUGACGGCCUUCGGGUUGUAAAGCUCUGUUAAUCGGGACGAAAGGCCUUCUUGCGAAUAGUGAGAAGGAUUGACGGUACCGGAAUAGAAAGCCACGGCUAACUACGUG
This 510-nucleotide ribosomal RNA is filed under the name uncultured bacterium. Its description in RNAcentral is "partial 16S ribosomal RNA". It matches the Rfam family "Bacterial small subunit ribosomal RNA", at positions 28 to 507 of the family's 1533-position model. The record is from RNAcentral.